AGCUCCAAUAGGAUAUAUCAAAGUUGUUGCAGUUGAAAAGCUCGUAGUCGUAUUUCUGGUGGGUUGAUGUUCCGUGCCUCUGCUCGGCGCAAGCUGGGCGAGCGCGGGGCCGCCUGCCAUUUUGUGGGCCCACGUGGCCAUUCUGUGGUUCACUCCACGGGUUGGUCGCGCCACUCCGUCACUGAGAGCAAAUUGGAGUGCUCAAAGCAGGCUUUACAGCUUUGAACAUUUUAGCUUGGAAUGACAAAGGAUGACUUUUUGUUCACUUUGUUGGUUAUGAAUAGGAAGUAAUGAUAAAUAGGAACAGUUGCGGGGGUACUCGUACUGGAAAGUCAGAGGUGAAAUUCUUGGAUUUUUCCACGACGAACAACUGCGAAAGCAUUUAUCAAGGAUGUUUUCA
RNAcentral lists this ribosomal RNA (400 nucleotides) under uncultured eukaryote. RNAcentral's name for it is "SSU rRNA". It matches the Rfam family "Eukaryotic small subunit ribosomal RNA", at positions 587 to 972 of the family's 1831-position model. The record is from RNAcentral.